UACAGAGGUCUCAAGCGUUGUUCGGAUUCAUUGGGCGUAAAGGGUGCGUAGGCGGCGCGGUAAGUCGGGUGUGAAAUUUCGAGGCUUAACUCCGAAACUGCAUUCGAUACUGGCGUGCUUGAGGACUGGAGAGGAGACUGGAAUUCAUGGUGUAGCAGUGAAAUGCGUAGAGAUCAUGAGGAAGACCAGUGGCGAAGGCGGGUCUCUGGACAGUUCCUGACACUGAGACACGAAGGCCAGGGGAGCAAACGGG
RNAcentral lists this ribosomal RNA (253 nucleotides) under uncultured bacterium. RNAcentral describes it as "partial 16S ribosomal RNA". It matches the Rfam family "Bacterial small subunit ribosomal RNA", at positions 524 to 776 of the family's 1533-position model. The record is from RNAcentral.